GUGGGGAAUAUUGCGCAAUGGGCGAAAGCCUGACGCAGCAACGCCGCGUGCGGGAUGAAGGCCUUCGGGUUGUAAACCGCUUUCAGUGGGGACGAAAACAGACGGUACCCACAGAAGAAGCCCCGGCCAACUACGUGCCAGCAGCCGCGGUAACACGUAGGGGGCGAGCGUUGUCCGGAUUUAUUGGGCGUAAAGAGCUCGUAGGCGGCUCGGUAAGUGAGGUGUGAAAACUCCAGGCUCAACCUGGAGACGCCACCUCAUACUGCCGUGGCUAGAGUCCGGUAGGGGAGCAUGGAAUUCCUGGUGUAGCGGUGAAAUGCGCAGAUAUCAGGAGGAACACCAGUGGCGAAGGCGGUGCUCUGGGCCGGAACUGACGCUGAGGAGCGAAAGCGUGGGGAGCAAACAGGAUUAGAAACCCCAGUAGUCC
Molecule: ribosomal RNA, 427 nt
Filed under: uncultured bacterium
Lineage: Bacteria
Description: bacterial SSU rRNA
Rfam family: Bacterial small subunit ribosomal RNA
Source: RNAcentral